Molecule: unclassified non-coding RNA, 295 nt
Filed under: uncultured Ascomycota
Lineage: Eukaryota; Fungi; Ascomycota
Description: sequence contains ITS1
Rfam family: 5.8S ribosomal RNA (bases 1-105)
Source: RNAcentral
GAAAUGCGAUAAGUAAUGUGAAUUGCAGAAUUCAGUGAAUCAUCGAAUCUUUGAACGCACAUUGCGCCCUCUGGUAUUCCGGGGGGCAUGCCUGUUCGAGCGUCAUUAUAACCACUCAAGCUUUCGCUUGGUAUUGGGGUUCGCGGGUUCGCGGCCUCUAAAAUCAGUGGCGGUGCCCGUCGGCUCUACGCGUAGUAAUACUCCUCGCGAUUGAGUCCGGCAGGUCUACUUGCCAGCAAUCCCAAAUUUUUUACAGGUUGACCUCGGAUCAGGUAGGGAUACCCGCUGAACUUAA